UACGAUAGCUUCUACACGUGGUCUUCGACAUUGACGACAGCACUGCAGAAGUUCCGAGAUCUUACUUUCUUCACAGCGCAGCUUUACUGGUGGUCUGAAGCCUUUCUUUAUUGUGGAGGUCACCUCAAACCUGCCGCUUGUGCCACCUCUGUCUGAAAGCAAUGCUGUGGAGAUACUCCUUUCUCCAGCAGCUCCAAACCUGCUCUGUGAGAUAUUGCACCUGUCGCCAUCUUUUGCGUCCAUAGAGGUCUUCCUUGAUGAACAUCCCUGCUGGAGUAGACUUCAUGGUGAUAAGAUGAUUAGGAGUGAGCGGUUCCAGGUUGGUUGGAUCGUUUAAGUUAUCCACUGUCAAAGGGCGACUGUUAACUAUUGACAUUGCUUCAUACAGUAACGUCCCUAGGGAAGAAUCACUGAGUCUAUAGGAAGGGAGUGAAAGAGUGAGACUGAGGACAUUUCUUAUGGUCUUAAUCUGUCGUUCCCACACUCCACCAGUGUGACUUGCAUGGGGUGCAUUUAAGACAAAGUCACAUUGCAUUGAGACCCGAAAGGUUUUUAGUCUUUUUGCAUCUAGCUCCUGAAGAGCUGUGUUAAGUUCAUUUUUGGCUCAUAAAACAGUCCCUAAAGUAAACAGUGGAGCCCAGUAGAACUCAAUAAAGCUGUUCUUCUGGGUGUCGUACUUCCGGGAACUGCUACAAAGCACGAUGGGAGAUGUGGUAUUCUAUCGUAAAAAAUAUAAAUAACGUCUGUGUCCUUAUGUAUAACGCAUUACCUUUGGGGUGGAUUUCUGUGCUUUCACGUCCUUCUGAGACGUUGUACUUUGUGAGUUUAAUGAUUUUCAGCACCGUCAGUCAUCAGGGAUCACGUGUGAAAGGGGCUCCCGAGCGCGGGUUCAGCAACUCAUACUUACCUGGCAGGAGCUGCCCUAUACAUGCUCAUAUCUGCUGGAUCCUGGAUCCCACAUCACUUAAGCGAACUUGGCUCAUCCAGCUUGUUGGAGAGAGAGCGGACAUUUCCUAUAGUAACAUAUGCCACCCUGGCGAUGCCGGGCAGGUCGAUGAGUGUCAGGUUGGGAACAGAGACGCGAUCUCCAGACUGAUCAGGUCGUCGCUGAUGCCCACACCCACCACAGCCAUUUCAUCCCGAUGUGGGACUCCAUGUCGCCUUUGCAAUUGAAGCCCCUGCAUUAGUACGGCUUCUCCCAUGUGUGGAUCCUGAUGUGCUCCUUCAAAUGGCUCGACUUUUUGAACCUCUUGGUGCAGAUGGGACAGGGAGACCAUGACUUGGACCAGGUUGGGGCUAUUGUGAGAGUGCAUCCUACAGUAUGUAGGCAACCGGUUCAGGGUGUACCCUGCCUCCCGCCCUCAGCCUUCUUGGAUAGGCUCCAGCCCCCCUGCGACCCCGCACGGGAUUCAGCAGUAGAAAAUGGACGGAUGGAUGGAUGAAUGACUUCUAACUUCCCUUCAGCUCAUUAGCUGAGAUUACACACAGUGGUUUACAAUAUCGAUGCACUGAGCUAAAGCCUGCUGCUGUGUUGCCCACAUCAGAUUUGCACUUGUUGCUAUCUGCCACCGUAAUGGCGGACCAGCUAAAAAAUGUACGGACCAAAAGAGACCCGCAUCACUGGAUGUAAACUUCUUUAUUAUCACUCUCGAUCCAAACAUGAGUUAAAUGAGUUAACGUGAAUGGUGAUCAGGAGAAUCAUAUAAGUUAGUGUCUUCAGCUUUUCCCAUCAGGGGUUGCCACAGCAAAUCAUCCUUUUCCAUCUAUCUCUAUCCUGGGCAUCUUGUACUUUCACACCAGCCAACCUCAUGUCCUCUGUUAGCACAUUCAUGUAUCUCCUCCUCUGUCGUUCUUUUGCCCUCUUCUAUGACUCUGAAAUUUAUUUUAAAAAUUCCUUUCUGGUUGGCCAGUAGUAACAUCUUAUUCUCCAUUAAAGGAGUCAUAUCAUGCUUUUCAUUCUAAAAAAUAUUAGACUUUAAUGUCUCAGUAAGGUCUCUGUAAAUUUUCAUCCCAUAAAACCCUGUAGAUCGUCCACACUGCCCCUGUCAAUGUGUGGUUUUCACUCCCCAUCAGCAAACGCUGUGUUUUCUGGGCGUGUCGCAAGCGAAGCUGCUCGCCACACCUCUGUGCGGAAGCGCAUACCUUUUUUGUUGUUGUUUUUUUUUUUUAAUUGGCUCCAUGGAUACGAGCCACCGCACGGUUACGAUACAAUAGGUGGCAGUAGUGCGACAUUGAGAAUGCAAUCCACCGCAAUCCUCCAAAGAAGAAGAAGACCCACUACAGGACUGCACGACAUUAGUCAGCUGGUUCUUAGCGUAGUAGAACCAUACGUCUACGAUCCCGAAUCUGACCCUGAAGCUGAAGAGGAGGCUGUUGAAGUCGCCACAUUUCGGCUGAUGCAAGAUGUGUCUCAUUGUUGUUACAGGUAUCUAGUCUACAGAGGCUAGUGAGCUGGUGCUGAGGAUUCCUGGGGUGAAGAAUCUGAGUUGCCAUCUCUUCAUGCUUCUUCAUGCUUGGGUUGUAGAUGAAGGCAGUUUCCUGAUGGAUAAAACACUAAAACACUCAUAGUAUGAUUGAUGUAGACCACCUGUAGAAUAACUCCUUUACCGUUUGAGUAAAAAUUUGUUUUUUGAGAGUGCAACACUCAUUAAGAAUUUUUUAAACUUUAUU
Long non-coding RNA from Betta splendens (Siamese fighting fish), 2670 nucleotides. RefSeq lists it as uncharacterized. Lineage: Eukaryota; Metazoa; Chordata; Actinopteri; Anabantiformes; Osphronemidae. The transcript has 7 exons. The record is from RefSeq and is a predicted model, not a curated record.